This 201-nucleotide ribosomal RNA is filed under the name uncultured bacterium. RNAcentral describes it as "partial 16S ribosomal RNA". It matches the Rfam family "Bacterial small subunit ribosomal RNA", at positions 328 to 538 of the family's 1533-position model. The record is from RNAcentral.
ACGCUCGACACCUACAGGAGGCAGCAGUGGGGAAUAUUGCACAAUGGGGGAAACCCUGAUGCAGCGACGCCGCGUGAGCGAAGAAGUAUUUCGGUAUGUAAAGCUCUAUCAGCAGGGAAGAAGAAAGACGGUACCUGACUAAGAAGCCCCGGCUAACUACGUGCCAGAGCCGCGGUAAUCUGAGCGGGCGUGGCGAAGGCG